AGCCUCGUAGCUCAGUUGGCUAGAGCGUUGACUGUAAUAAAGCCUUCCCUUUGCUGGCGUGGGUUAGAAUCCCACCGAAGAUG
Non-coding RNA from Schistocephalus solidus, 83 nucleotides. The record is from Rfam. NCBI's taxonomy places the organism in Eukaryota, Metazoa, Platyhelminthes, Cestoda, Diphyllobothriidea, Diphyllobothriidae.